AGGUGUUUGAGCUUGUUGAAAAUUGCUUGAAGCUAUCCAAACCUUGGGCUUUGGUUUGGUGAUUUUGUGCGGCACCUUGCGGGUCAAACCUAGGAUUGUUGGAAUCAGGAGUACGAGCAAUCCAAGAUGAUGCUACUUUGGCUGCAGGUACUCCAGAGUUAGAUGACGAUCCAAUAGCGUUAUAUAUGAGAUAUUACGACUGAGGCACACCGUGACAGUUGUAAUGGGUUGGACUACGGUGUCCUCUCUUUUGAUAUAUUUUGUAUAUGGCUUGUGACGUGGGUGUCACGUAUUCUUUUGUAUAAGCCAUUCUUUUGUUAUAUGAUGUAAUGAUGUUAAGCCUUAAACAAAUAGACAUGUGUAUGGCUCUUUUGUUAGAUCGACAAGUUAUGUUUUAAUUGUACUUUUCCGCUGAAAUUAUGAUGGUAUUAUUAUGUUU
Molecule: long non-coding RNA, 439 nt
Organism: Alnus glutinosa
Lineage: Eukaryota; Viridiplantae; Streptophyta; Magnoliopsida; Fagales; Betulaceae
Exons: 3
Source: RefSeq, a predicted model, not a curated record